AAUGUAGCGGUAUUUGUGUUAAAAAUGUUUAACAUUCUUAAGAUUUUAAGAUCAAGUAUGCUUACAAUUGUAUUAUUAUUAUAUUUAAAUUACCUAUAAAUGGAAAUAUCUGUAAUUUGUUAACUAUUCUGUGUUAGGAAACAUCAUUAUACUUGGAAUAAUUAUGAUUACAAUAAGGUAAUUUUGUAAAAUAAAUCUAAAUUUAGUAUUUUUUUGUUUGUUCAUGUAUCGUGUGAUAAAAUCAUUAGAAAUCAUAAACUGACAUUGAACCGUGUUGUUGUAUUAAAGUAAGAUAAUUAGGCUUCCAAUGUUAGACUUACUUUUAAUCUUAACUUAUUAUUGAUCAUGUGAUUAUUUGUCAUUUAUAGACAAUGAUUUUAAGAUAACUUUUAUUUUUUGGGGUAAAGAUUGCACGAAAUGCAAUCAAAAUUCUAUGAUACUGACUUGAUAUCUAUAUCUUCCAAGGUUUAUCACUACCUUUAAUAAUUCAAACAAAAUAGUGCAGUUAAGUGAUCAUUAUUAAGAUCCUAUCCAGUCAAUGUUAUGCAAUUUAUUGAUGAUAUGUUAUACUUUGAUAUUUAUGUAAUAAUAUGAUGUGUAUUUCAAUUGCAAUACUUGUCAAAAGAACAUUUUUUAUUAAAAAUUAAAUAAGUAAUGCAUGGUGUAUGAAUCUGUUAUAAAGAUAGGUUCAACUACAAAUGUAAAAAGGAAGAUAACUCCCAACUAAAUAUUUUGAUUUGCCUAGCAAAAUACAAUUUGAUAUUUUAUUAUUGCAAAAUGAAAGUAAUCUUUACCCUUCAUUGAUUAUUUUAUGCCAGAAAUCAUUGAUACAAAUUUUAAAUUUAAGUCAUAAGGAUUUAGUAUUGACUUCAGUAAGAAUAAAGUUGAGUGGUUAUUGGAAUAUUAGAGGUGUUUGUCCACUGUCUUAUUGGAAUAUCAGAGGUGUUUGUCCACUGUCUUAUUGGAAUAUCAGAGGUGUUUGUCCACUGUCUUAUUGGAAUAUCAGAGGUGUUUGUCCACUGUCUUAUUGGAAUAUCAGAGGUGUUUGUCCACUGUCUUAUUGAAAUAUCAGAGGUGUUUGUCCACUGUCUGUUUUCAGAAAUUACCAGAAAUACAGCCUUAUAAAGUGUGUCGUUACAUCGCUGUCCUAGGAGGGGAGGCACCACAGACAUAUUCAACCCACAAUAUUCUAUAUAUACCUGUUCCAAGUCAGGAACCUAUAAUUCAGUAGUUGUUGUUUGUGGCUUUAUAUCAUAUUUCAUUUACAGUUAUGUACAUAAACCAGGUUGUUUAAUCAUUUGUUUGAAUUGUUUUGUUAUGUUGAAGCUUGUUAUAACAUCAAUGUCAGUGGUCUCUAGUGGAAAGUUUUCUCAUUGGCAAUCAUACCUUAUCUUAUUUUUAUUAGAAUUUGAUUUGUAGAUGCAUUUUGAACAGACUGGCUAGUUUAACUAGGGUAAAGAUCAAUUGACUCAUAUUUUCUAGCUCACCUGGCCCAAAGGGCCAAGUGAGCUUUUCUCAUCACUUGGCGUCCGUCGUCGUUAGCUUUUACAAAAAUCUUCUCCUCUGAAACCACUGUGCCAAAUUUAACCAAACUUGGCCACAAUCAUCAUUAGGGUAUCUAGUUUAAAAAAUGUGUCCGAUGACCCUGCUUACCAUCCAAGAUGGCUGCAACGGCUAAAAAUAGAACAUAGGGGUAAAAUGUAGAUUUUGGCUUAUAUCUCUGAAACCAAAGCAUUUAGAGUAAAUCUGACAUAGGGUAAAACUGAUUAUCAGGUCAAGAUCUAUCUGCCCUGAAAUUGUCAGACAAAUCUGACAACCCAUUGUUGGGUUGCUGCCCCUGAAUUGGUAAUUUUAAGGAAAUUUUGCAGUUUUUGGUUAUUAUCUUGAAUAUUAUUAUAGAUAGAGAUAAACUGUAAACAGCAAUAAUGUUCAGCAAAGUAAGAUCUACAAAUAAGUUGUCAAUGACCAAAAUUGUCAGUCGACCCCUUUAGGAGUUAUUGCCCUUUAUAGUCAAUUUUUAACAAUUUUUCGUAAAUUUUUGUAAUCUUUUACAAAAAUCUUCUUCUCUGAAACUACUGAGACAAAUUUAACCAUACUUGGCCAUAAUCAUUAUUAAGGUAUUUAGUUUAAAAAAUUUGUCCGAUGACCCCAACUUCCAACCAUCAUGGCCGACAUGGUUAGAAAUAGAACAUUGGGGUAAAAUGCAGUUUUUGGUUUAUAUCUCUGAAACUAAAGCAUUUAGAGCAAAUCUGACAGGUUGCAAAAAUGUUCAUCAGAUUUAGAUUUAUCUGCCCUGAAAUUUUCAGACUAAUCCGACAACCCGUUGUUGGGUUGCGGCCCCUGAGUUAGUAAAUUUACAGAAAUUUUGCAGUUUUUAGUUAUUAUCUUAGAUAUCAUUAUAAUAUCUAAUAUCUAAUACUAUUAAUUAUGAUUUUAACCUUAUUUUACAUGAUUUCCAAAGCAUCAGUAAAUACAGGUGAGCGACACAGGCUCUUGAGAGCCUCUAGUUAUAAUAUUCAAUGGCUUUGGUUAAAUUUUUGGCUCUAUUACUUUUAUAAAUUUUUACAUCCAUGUUCAGUAGUUUUCAUUUGAACUUCAUUGAUUUCAACUAAGUUUAACAUCCCAUUUUACAUCAAACAUACCAAAAUCAUAUAACUUUGUGUUAACAUAAUGAAACAUCUAGGAGAGAAUAAUUGUAUCUCACAAAAAGUAGCUUACUCUUUAAGGAUUUAAGUUUCACUGACUUGUAUUUAUUUUUAUGUCCAAGCUUUGUGAAAAAUAAAAAUGUGUCUGACAGGGUAUGAAACUGCAAAUGAAAAAAAAAGGUUUCUUUGACCUAUAUUAUUAUCAUAUAUAUAUAUUUAAAAGGUUUAUUGUUAUAUUUAUUGUUUCAGGACUUUUAAUUAUCUCAGUUUGAGUUGUUUUUUGUUUUUUUUUAUCUUGUUUUGUUUUAUUGUAAAUUGAACUUUUAAAAUUAAAUAAAAGUGCCAAGUUUUAA
Molecule: long non-coding RNA, 2998 nt
Organism: Mytilus californianus (California mussel)
Lineage: Eukaryota; Metazoa; Mollusca; Bivalvia; Mytilida; Mytilidae
Exons: 2
Source: RefSeq, a predicted model, not a curated record